This 76-nucleotide transfer RNA is filed under the name Escherichia coli. Its description in RNAcentral is "tRNA-Ala". It matches the Rfam family "tRNA". Rfam says of the family: Transfer RNA (tRNA) molecules are approximately 80 nucleotides in length. Their secondary structure includes four short double-helical elements and three loops (D, anti-codon, and T loops). Lineage: Bacteria; Pseudomonadati; Pseudomonadota; Gammaproteobacteria; Enterobacterales; Enterobacteriaceae. The record is from RNAcentral.
GGGGCUAUAGCUCAGCUGGGAGAGCGCCUGCUUUGCACGCAGGAGGUCUGCGGUUCGAUCCCGCAUAGAUCCACCA